Molecule: long non-coding RNA, 806 nt
Filed under: Mytilus galloprovincialis (Mediterranean mussel)
Lineage: Eukaryota; Metazoa; Mollusca; Bivalvia; Mytilida; Mytilidae
Source: RNAcentral
UUUUAAUUAUUUUUUUUUUUCUUCCACCAAAUUUUUUUCUUGCGUAGUAUUGUUGUUUAAUAAGUUGUCGCUUAGAUAUUUGGAAAAUGAUAUCGUAUAGUUUAUACGCUUUAAAAAUUUACAACCGCGUAACAAAAUACUUUACGUUGUAAGAGUUAUCUCCCCAAAUACUGUUUUUCUUGUGGCCACUACUCCUUGGCAACCGUUAAAGAUUACGACAAAUUUAUUUUACCAAAUUGCUCGUUACAUCUUCAGGAUUAGGAUAUUUAUUUGGACCGAAGCUUUACGGAGACCCAUAUGAGAGUUAUUCCCCCUUUUCCAUUUAAUUAAGUGAUAUGCAUUUCUAAAUGGUAAACCAUAAGUGAUAGAGACAUAGGGUCUUUAGAUUUGAAGUCCUUGGUCCAAAAAAAUAAAAAGUAGAUCAAGGUCAAAGGUCAAGGUCAUAUUCUAAAUUUUGAUUUUGGCUUAUUUUUCACUUAUUUUCAAAUACCGUAUGACAUUUCGCAAAUAUUUUUUUCAUAAAUUGUUAGUUGCUACAUGUCCAUUACUUGUAUAUUUUGGUUAAAGGGUGCGCAGCUCAUAAAUUGGAGUUUUUGUCCAUCUUACAUUUAGAAUUACGUGUAAAGUGAUAUUACUCAUUAACCAAACAUAUUAAAGACCUAGGGUCUUCUGAUUUAAGGUCCUUUUUGUGACCUUGAAAUUGAGGUCAAGGUCAUAGGUUAAAACGACGUUCUACAUUUUGACCUUUGCUUUAAAUUCAUAUUUAUACAUUAUAAAGUCAUAGGAACUGACAUUUUAGAUUCAUU